This 831-nucleotide ribosomal RNA is filed under the name Micarea micrococca. RNAcentral describes it as "SSU rRNA". It matches the Rfam family "Bacterial small subunit ribosomal RNA", at positions 376 to 1150 of the family's 1533-position model. The record is from RNAcentral. Lineage: Eukaryota; Fungi; Ascomycota; Lecanoromycetes; Lecanorales; Micareaceae.
CUAACGGCUGAACCAGCACUUGGAAGAAUGUAUAGCAAUUGCUAAUUGUUUCUCCUUUAAAUGGAACAAUAUCGAUUUGAUCGAAUAAAAUUCUGGGUAAAAUUAUGAUAAUGACAUUGUUUACUCAUGAGUCUUGACCAAGUUACGUGCCAGCAGUCGCGGUAAUACGUAGAAGACAAGUGUUAUUCAUCUUUAAUGGGUUUAAAGGGUACCUAGACGGUGUAUUAAGCCUCAAAAGGAACUGAUAUACUAGAGUUACUUAUGAGGAAGUUCUAAAGUACUAGAGGAGUAGAGAUAAAAUUCAAUAAUACCUUUUUUUUAUAAAAAACUUCGGCACAGGUAUAGGUGAAAACAUCUUCUUAUGGGAUAACUGACGUUGAGGGACGAAGGCUUUUAAUCGUGAACAGGAUUAGAGACCCUGGUAAUGGAAGCAGAAAACGCUGAGUGUCAUAGAUUAGAUAAAUAUUUACUCUAUAAAUGAAAGUGUAAGCACUCCACCUCAAGAGUAAUUUGGCAACAUUGGAACUGAAAUCAUUAGACCGUAUUUGAAACCAGUAGUGAUGUAUGUUAUUUAAUUUGAUAAUCCGCAAAAAACCUUACCACAACUUGAAUGCCUAUAUAUUUAUUUUUAUUAUAUUUUUGUGUGUAGUUUUUUGUAUAACUUAAACUACACAUUAUACAAUAAUAUCAUAAGGUAAAAUCAUAGGUACAAGUGUUGCACGGCUGUCUACAGUUAAUGUCGUCAGACUAUGGUUAGUUCCAUUAAAUUAACGUAAACCCUUGCUCUAUUUUUAAAUAGAGUAGUUCUCCACUAUAUUGGAUAAGAUAACA